UGGGGAAUAUUGCACAAUGGGCGAAAGCCUGAUGCAGCAACGCCGCGUGAGUGAUGAAGGCCUUCGGGUUGUAAAGCUCUGUCUUUUGGGACGAUAAUGACGGUACCAAAGGAGGAAGCCACGGCUAACUACGUGCCAGCAGCCGCGGUAAUACGUAGGUGGCAAGCGUUGUCCGGAUUUACUGGGCGUAAAGGAUGCGUAGGCGGAUUUUUAAGUGAGAUGUGAAAUACCCGGGCUUAACUUGGGUGCUGCAUUUCAAACUGGGAAUCUAGAGUGCGGGAGAGGAGAAUGGAAUUCCUAGUGUAGCGGUGAAAUGCGUAGAGAUUAGGAAGAACACCAGUGGCGAAGGCGAUUCUCUGGACCGUAACUGACGCUGAGGCAUGAAAGCGUGGGUAGCAAACAGGAUUAGAUACCCUGGUAGUCCACGCCGUAAACGAUGAGUACUAGGUGUAGGAGGUAUCGACCCCUUCUGUGCCGCAGUUAACACAAUAAGUACUCCGCCUGGGAAGUACGAUCGCAAGGUUAAAACUCAAAUGAAUUGACGGGGUCAUAGCUGUUUCCU
This 562-nucleotide ribosomal RNA is filed under the name uncultured bacterium. RNAcentral describes it as "partial 16S ribosomal RNA". It matches the Rfam family "Bacterial small subunit ribosomal RNA", at positions 355 to 1375 of the family's 1533-position model. The record is from RNAcentral.